AUUGAACGCUGGCGGAAUGCUUUACACAUGCAAGUCGAGCGGCAGCGCGGCCUUCGGGCUGGCGGCGAGCGGCGAACGGGUGAGUAAUGCAUCGGAACAUGCUCAGUCGUGGGGGAUAACACUUCGAAAGAAGUGCUAAUACCGCAUACGUCCUGAGGGGGAAAGCGGGGGAUCGCAAGACCUCGCGCGAUUGGAGUGGCCGAUGUCAGAUUAGCUAGUUGGUGGGGUAAAGGCCUACCAAGGCGACGAUCUGUAGCUGGUCUGAGAGGAUGAUCAGCCACACUGGGACUGAGACACGGCCCAGACUCCUACGGGAGGCAGCAGUGGGGAAUUUUGGACAAUGGGGGCAACCCUGAUCCAGCCAUUCCGCGUGAGUGAAGAAGGCCUUCGGGUUGUAAAGCUCUUUCGGCAGGAACGAAACGGUGGGCUCUAACAUAGUCCGCUAAUGACGGUACCUGAAGAAGAAGCACCGGCUAACUACGUG
This 484-nucleotide ribosomal RNA is filed under the name uncultured bacterium. Its description in RNAcentral is "partial 16S ribosomal RNA". It matches the Rfam family "Bacterial small subunit ribosomal RNA", at positions 30 to 507 of the family's 1533-position model. The record is from RNAcentral.